Amphiprion ocellaris (clown anemonefish) is the source of this 736-nucleotide long non-coding RNA. RefSeq lists it as uncharacterized. The record is from RefSeq and is a predicted model, not a curated record. The transcript has 3 exons. NCBI's taxonomy places the organism in Eukaryota, Metazoa, Chordata, Actinopteri, Pomacentridae.
UGCUGACUCCUGCCUGCUUCUGUUGUUGUCGAUUCUGGAUGUGGACCUGCCACUGGUCCGAGGCUUCCUGGCUUUCACUGGACCUUUGGUUUCUCCAAGGAUUUCCUGAGUGCAGAGGAGAAUACCUGCUGCCAGCCACAGGAACACCUGCCAUGCCACCAAGGACGCCAUUCUGUCUGGCUGGAUGCCCUCUCCCUCAGUCUGCUCACCUGUGACGCCAAAAUACCACCUGUGGCCAUAGGAACACCUGGGACCACGUAUUCCCCUAAAGACUGGUCGAAGUUGGGUUCCAGAUCCAUUAUGCCAGAGAGUCGCUCAUGCCAUUCUGAGACCAGUGUAGGUCAUCGAUGCCUUCAAAGAAGCAGGCAGCUCCCUGGUUGCACCAGAAAGGGGCUUUCAUCUCCAGCCUGAGGGGAGGAAUACAGCGCUUACCAACUUCCCCAGUAAAUCUCCAUAUUUCCAUUCCCACACCGGCGUCUGCAGCCGAUAAAUGGAGAUGACGUCGUCGUCUUUCAUGGAGGGAAUCCGUCCAUCUGGGUCUCCGGUGGGACAGAACGGGUACAGAGCUUCACAAUAAGAGUCCACAUCAGGCCGAGAGUCAAACCGCCUGUUAAUGACACGAGAAAGAGGAAACGGUUUGUCACUGGAGUCACUCAGUCAUUCAGUUCACAUUUAGCCAACUUCUCAUUUCAGAACAUAAAACAUUGCACUGAAAAUAAACUAUUAAUUGCCUGGA